GGCAAACGGGUGCGGAACACGUACACAACCUUCCUUUUAGUGGGGAAUAGCCCAGAGAAAUUUGGAUUAAUACCCCGUAACAUGACCGAGUGGCAUCACUUGGUUAUUAUAGCUUCGGCGCUAAAUGAUGGGUGUGCGUAUGAUUAGAUAGUUGGCGAGGUAACGGCUUACCAAGUCUACGAUCAUUAGCUGAUGUGAGAGCAUGAUCAGCCACACGGGCACUGAGACACGGGCCCGACUCCUACGGGAGGCAGCAGUAAGGAAUAUUGAUCAAUGGACGCAAGUCUGAACCAGCUAUGCCGCGUGAAGGAUUAAGGUCCUCUGGAUUGUAAACUUCUUUUAUCUGGGACGAAAAAAGGUCUUUCUAGACCCCUUGACGGUACCAGAUGAAUAAGCACCGGCUAACUCCGUGCCAGCAGCCGCGGUAAUACGGAGGGUGCAAGCGUUAUCCGGAUUCACUGGGUUUAAAGGGUGCGUAGGCGGGUAGGUAAGUCAGUGGUGAAAUCCUGGAGCUCAACUCCAGAACUGCCAUUGAUACUAUCUAUCUUGAAUAUUGUGGAGGUAAGCGGAAUAUGUCAUGUAGCGGUGAAAUGCUUAGAUAUGACAUAGAACACCCAUUGCGAAGGCAGCUUACUACG
This 638-nucleotide ribosomal RNA is filed under the name uncultured bacterium. RNAcentral's name for it is "bacterial SSU rRNA". It matches the Rfam family "Bacterial small subunit ribosomal RNA", at positions 97 to 733 of the family's 1533-position model. The record is from RNAcentral.